AGGGAGAGAUGGAGGUGAGAUGAGCGAGAGAUGGGGGAGAGAUGAGGAGAGAUGGAGGAGAGAUGGGGGACAGAAGGCGGUCAGAUGGAGAGGUGGAGAAGAGAUGGAGGAGAGAUGAGGGAGAGAUGAAGGGAGAGAUGAGGGAGAGAUGAAGGAGAGAUGGAGGAGAGAUGGGGAGAGAUGAGGGAUAGGUGGGGGAGAGAUGGAGGGAGAAAUGGAGGAGAGAUGGGGAGAGAUAGAUGAGAGAUGCGGUAGAGAUGGGGAGAGAUGAGGGAGAGAUGGAGGUGAGAUGAGGGAGAGAUGGGGGAGAGAUGAGGAGAGAUGGAGGAGAGAUGGGGAGAGAAGGCGGUCAGAUGGAGAGGUGGAGAAGAGAUGGAGGAGAGAUGAGGGAGAGAUGGAGGAAGAGAUGGGG
Oncorhynchus tshawytscha (Chinook salmon) is the source of this 412-nucleotide long non-coding RNA. The record is from Ensembl. NCBI's taxonomy places the organism in Eukaryota, Metazoa, Chordata, Actinopteri, Salmoniformes, Salmonidae.